RNAcentral lists this ribosomal RNA (458 nucleotides) under uncultured bacterium. Its description in RNAcentral is "partial 16S ribosomal RNA". It matches the Rfam family "Bacterial small subunit ribosomal RNA", at positions 28 to 507 of the family's 1533-position model. The record is from RNAcentral.
GACGAACGCUGGCGGCGUGCUUCAUACAUGCAAGUCGAACGAGAAGCUGACUUCGGUCAGUGGAAAGUGGCGGACGGGCGGGUAAUAUGUAGGAAAUUUGCCUUUAGGAGGGGGACAACAGAGUGAAACUUCUGCUAAUACCCCAUAUGAGCGUACCCGUAAUGCUAUUCUUGAAACCUCCGGUGACGAAGGAUGAGCCUGCAUCUGAGUAGCUAGUUGGUAUUGUAAUGGACUAGCAAGGGGACGAUCAGUAGCUGGUUUGGGAGGAUGACCAGACACAAAGGGAGAGAGGCACGGCACAUAUUCCUGCGGGAGGAAGCAGUAGGGAAGUUUGCGCAACGGGCGAAAGCCUGAGGCAGCAACGGCGCGUGAACGAGGAAGCCCUUUGGGAUGUAAAGUUCUGUCAGUGGGGACGAAGCUUGACGGUACCCACAGAGGAAGCACCGGCUAACUCCGUG